Trachymyrmex septentrionalis is the source of this 1263-nucleotide RNA transcript. It is a transcript of the gene named vesicle transport protein USE1, with no coding region annotated. The transcript has 6 exons. The record is from RefSeq and is a predicted model, not a curated record. NCBI's taxonomy places the organism in Eukaryota, Metazoa, Arthropoda, Insecta, Hymenoptera, Formicidae.
ACUGGAUCGAACCGUGCACAGUGUGUAGUGCCGUCAUAGACUUCAUAUGGACUGGCGAUAUAAAUAUAUAGGAUCGAUUUCGUACUUCUGUUUCUGUUUCUGAAUCCGGAAGUGCAGCAGGGCUAUUUUUUAAUCUCAUAUAACCCACAAUUUAAGAAAUUUACAGUAAAAUUGUGGGGAUUUCACAAGCAACGCAAACAAAUCUUAUAUUCUUAAUUUAGAGAUUUAUUCUGUCAGCGAGUUGGCAACAUUGUACAUAACAUAUGUUGAACGGAAUAUUGUAGAGCACAGAGCUUUCCUUGUCCAUCAAGUCAAAUAUAUGCCAAAUGAUUCAAAUGACCAGGCUAGAAAUCAACGUCAAGCGACUUCUAACACGCUGCGAAUUAAUAGCGAAGGAUGAUCCACACCAAGACUGGAAGCUCGAAAAAUAUAUACUUUCUCUAGAUGACAUGAUGAACAAACUGCAGACUUCACCAAAUAAACCAUCCAAGGAUACUAUGAUGGGUUACAUUAAGCGGAUAAAUUUUCUAAAAGGAGUCAUAAACGCAAUGAAGUUGUCAAAUCCAGUGGAGAGAGUGGUUGCCGCACAAUUGUUAUCAAAAAAUUCAGUGUCCACUAACAAUUCCGCCAGUACAAAUAUUACAACGCAAAUACAUCAGAAGACUGUCGCUAAAUACAAUCGAGAAUUACGGGAGGAAUUAUUUCAUAAUAACAGAGAAGUAAAUAAAGAUGGUGUACGACAGAGAUUAUCGAGCUCUAAUAUCAAGGAUGAAGAUCUGGACGCUAUUUUGAAAUAUAAUCGUAAUAUUCAGGAGAAGAUCGCUGAAAAUAUGCUCUCCAUGACUAGCACUAUGAAGGAACAUGCAUUAGCGGCUAGUGCUAUCAUAAAAAAGGAUAUUGGCACGCUGGAAAUGUCUGACAAAUUGACUGAUGUAAAUGCUAUUAAUUUAAAGAAAGAAUCCCUAAAGUUAGAAGAGCACACGAACUCAAAAUGGAGGUGUUGGGGACAAUGCGGCUGAAAUUUCCUUAUUUAUUGCUCGAAUUUCUAAAUUUUAUGAUGUUAUACUGUUGCCAACAUGGUGUUAUUUAUGAAAGUGAGGAAAAAAAUUUAGGUAAUUUUCUGGCUUAUCUGUAUAGCGCCAUAAGUGUGCUUGUAAAAACACCUGUGCUACCUAAAAUCACUUGAAAAUCUGGUAAAUAUAUUACAAAAUAGCGAUACAUCAAUUUACAACUCCAUCCAACAUCAUUAUAAUUUAGCUUGUU